RNAcentral lists this unclassified non-coding RNA (437 nucleotides) under fungal sp. Its description in RNAcentral is "partial internal transcribed spacer region". The stretch from base 1 to 46 matches the Rfam family "Eukaryotic small subunit ribosomal RNA", at positions 1786 to 1831 of the family's 1831-position model. The record is from RNAcentral. Lineage: Eukaryota; Fungi.
AAGUCGUAACAAGGUAACCGUAGGUGAACCUGCGGUUGGAUCAUUAGCGUUUUUAGCAGCGCGCCGUUGUUGUGACCGUUUGUGGAGGGUAGUGUUUCGUUUUGUGUGUGGUGUUUGUCUUGUGUGUUUUGUGUUUUGUCUUUUGUCGUUUGUCUUUUAUGGUUGGUGUUCGUCGUUUGACUUGUCGUUUGUCUUGUCGUUUGUGUUUCAUCUAUAUUUAUAUCUAUAUCUAUAUCUAUGACCACAUCGACAUCGACAUCCACAUCGACAACCACAAGCCUCAUGGACAUGGACAUGGACAUGGACAACCAUAAACCUCAUGGACAGCCACUUCCAAAACUGAAACACGACUCUCGACUACACGCCAAUAAACACUUUUCUUUGCUUUGAUUUCGACUAAACUAAAACAACUUUUGACAACGGAUCUCUUGGCUCUC